This 383-nucleotide ribosomal RNA is filed under the name uncultured bacterium. RNAcentral's name for it is "bacterial SSU rRNA". It matches the Rfam family "Bacterial small subunit ribosomal RNA", at positions 350 to 751 of the family's 1533-position model. The record is from RNAcentral.
AGCAGUGGGGAAUAUUGGACAAUGGGCGAAAGCCUGAUCCAGCAAUGCCGCGUGUGUGAAGAAGGUCUUCGGAUUGUAAAGCACUUUCGACGGGGACGAUGAUGACGGUACCCGUAGAAGAAGCCCCGGCUAACUUCGUGCCAGCAGCCGCGGUAAUACGAAGGGGGCUAGCGUUGCUCGGAAUGACUGGGCGUAAAGGGCGCGUAGGCGGAUCACGCAGUCAGAUGUGAAAUUCCUGGGCUUAACCUGGGGGCUGCAUUUGAGACGCGUGGUCUAGAGUGUGAAAGAGGGUCGUGGAAUUCCCAGUGUAGAGGUGAAAUUCGUAGAUAUUGGAAGAACACCGGUGGCGAACGCGGCGACCUGGUUCAUGACUGACGCUGAGG